UGAGGAAUUUUCCACAAUGGGCGAAAGCCUGAUGGAGCAAUGCCGCGUGGAGGAAGAAGCACCGUGGUGUGUAAACUCCUUUUCUCAGAGAAGAAGUUCUGACGGUAUCUGAGGAAUAAGCUCCGGCUAACUCUGUG
Molecule: ribosomal RNA, 137 nt
Filed under: uncultured bacterium
Lineage: Bacteria
Description: partial 16S ribosomal RNA
Rfam family: Bacterial small subunit ribosomal RNA
Source: RNAcentral